This 239-nucleotide unclassified non-coding RNA is filed under the name uncultured fungus. RNAcentral describes it as "sequence contains ITS1, 5.8S rRNA gene". The stretch from base 191 to 239 matches the Rfam family "5.8S ribosomal RNA", at positions 1 to 49 of the family's 154-position model. Lineage: Eukaryota; Fungi. The record is from RNAcentral.
UCUCCGUAGGUGAACCUGCGGAGGGAUCAUUACCGAGUGAGGGGGUCCUCGCGCCCCCGACCUCCCAACCCUUUGUUUCAACCAACUCUGUUGCCUCGGGGGGCGACCCGGCCCUUCUGGGCGACGGGGCCCCCGGUGGUCCAUCUCAACCCUGCAUCUGUGCGUCUGAGUAAAUAUUUGAAUCAAUCAAAACUUUCAACAACGGAUCUCUUGGUUCUGGCAUCGAUGAAGAACGCAGC